Oenanthe melanoleuca is the source of this 457-nucleotide long non-coding RNA. RefSeq lists it as uncharacterized. The transcript is spliced from 3 exons. The record is from RefSeq and is a predicted model, not a curated record. NCBI's taxonomy places the organism in Eukaryota, Metazoa, Chordata, Aves, Passeriformes, Muscicapidae.
UCAGGAAUGCCAUUCCUAAAUCCUGACAAAGUCCCUUGUGUUUUUCCCAAGACAAGUGUGCCAUUGCAAUAGCAUUGGAAAGUAUAUAGUGUGAUUAUACAUAGAUAAACAAAUAUGAGAGGUUGAUCAAAGGAAUGAAGAAGCGUGAAAAAGACAGAAGGAGAAGGAACAUGCUGGCUGCUGCAGGCAUGAAGCCAUAAAAUCAAAAGUGAGUGGCACCUCCAGCUUCCAUGGCAGGCACAUAAAGAGGCAUCAGCUUAUACUCACUGACAAACAUCACUUCAGAAUGGGUUUACUUUAUUGGAUUGGAAAAAACGGUACUGCUUUGACAGAAGUGUAAAUACAGCCAACUAGAAAUGUGGCUAAAAAGAAAGGUAUGUAAAAUCAAACAUAUCACUGUACUUGCUAACAAAACCAAUGGUUUACAAAGUUUAAUAUCUUAGAGUAGAUCAUCAGU